Molecule: long non-coding RNA, 2730 nt
Filed under: Marmota monax (woodchuck)
Lineage: Eukaryota; Metazoa; Chordata; Mammalia; Rodentia; Sciuridae
Source: RNAcentral
AGAGCCCUCAGGGCCUAAGAGCCACUGCAGCGGGCAAAGCUUUGCUACAGGCAGGUAGAAUCUGAGCGUAUGUAUGUGCGAAAGAGAGAGACAGAGAAGGAGAGGAGAGUGCCUGCCUCAUCUGCCCCUGCAGGUGCUCACCUCUGCUAGGACUUGGCUGGGCACAAACAGAUUAGCAGGCUGAGCGCUGGAGCCUUGGUUUCACCCACCCCACCUUUGAUCUGCGCCUGCCUUUGGCCAAGAGCCAGACACUAUCAGAAAAGAUGACUGCAGCCAAAACUUAUAAAGUGCUUACUGCGCAGCAGGCCUGGUUCUCAGCACUUCUCCCACACUGAACCCCUUGGUUCUCAUUACCCCUAAGAGGUGGGCACUGUUACUGUAUCGGUUUUGCCAAGAAGCAACCUUGCUGGUGAAAGUUGUAGCUGGGAUUCUAGUCUGGAUCCAGCACACACCCUUGUGAGCAUCUCUUUUGUCCACUGUCUCUGAAUUCUACAGAACCCAAAUGGCCGCCCCCUGCCCACUCUACAGUCUAGGGAUCACCUCUUCAGAGAAACCCCAGGGAUCAUGCCUGCCCCUGAGCCACAGGCUGCAUGCCAGUCAGGACUCUAGUCUCAGCCAAGUGAAUUUUUCUUUGCCUUCUCGAGCCUCUGAACUGAACGUUAUCCCUGACUCAACUGUGAAGAUCCCUGGAGGCAGGGGAUGAAUCUCCCAGCCCUCUGCAUUCCUGGCACUAGUCAGAAUAGUGCCUCACUGGGUAGAUGCUCACCUUCGAUGAUGACAUUUUGAAUCAGUUUCCUCCACUUACUUCAAUCCAUGUUUCUCAAAGGUCUGCUGUAUGCCAAGCCACUCCAUCUAUGGGAACUCAUUUAAUCCUCCCAGCAGCCCUAGAGGAAAACCUAAUAUUGACCCCAUUUUGGAAAAAGUGGGGCUCAGAGAAGAGAACCAACUCACUUGAAGUUACAUGACUCGUACACCACAGAGAUGGCACUAGAGGGUUAAGUGUGUCUUGCCCCAGAGCCAGGUCUGCCUGCUCCUUUUGAACACAUCAUGUGCUUUCAUGCUUGAAUGCCAUUGUCCAAGCUGUACCCUCUCCCUGGAUCCUCUUUCCAUCUGAGCAGCUCCCACUCAUUCUUCCUGACCUGCUUUGGUGGAGCACAGGAGGAUGGAGCCCCAUAGUGUAGGAGAGUGUCUGGUCUAUAUUGUGCACCCAAGAUAGUCUUGGCAAGUGGACGGAUGGGUGGAGGGUCCAGCAGACCUGAAUUCUACCAUGUAACCAAUUGUGUGACCUCAGCUGCAUAGUCUGUAAAAUGGGCAAGAUAAAAAUGGUUUCCACCCUCCAGGGAUGCUGCUAGGAUUACAGGAGAUCAUGUAUCUAAUGCGCUUAGUUAGCACAGUGUCUGGCACUCAGUGAUUGCAUUAAAUCUUAGCUAUUGCUGCUUUUACAAUCAAAAGUCACUUCUGAAAAGCCAACUGGGCUCCCUGGGGCCAAAUAAAUAGCUUCAUCCUGCAACAAAUUCUGCUCCCAUAGUAUCUUAUAACUCCCUCCCCUUCAGGCAGGGAGCUCCUGGAGGAACAGAGGCUCCCUUUCCUCCAUCUUGCCAGCCCCAGUGGUGCCUAACACACGGUUAGGUGCUCAGCAAACGUUUGCAGUUUGCGCGCGCACGCGGCGACUUUUGUGUUCAAAAGAACACAUUCCGCAAUUGCAGCAGCAAAAUUCUGUCGCUGCAGCCAACACUUGGGAAGUGCUCACAACGGUUCUGCGCUGAACCCCUUUUCUCAUUACCCCCGCAAGAGGUGGGCACUGGUUGCUCCACUUUCCAGGUGAGGUUUUGCUGAAUAAAAGCUUUGCUCAGCACCGUGGGGUCCCCACUCCCAGAGAUGAGGCGGUAUGAGGUGAGGAUGCAGGGAACUUUAAAUGUUCCAGGAUUGGGGGGGCGCGGGAGGAAACCCCUCGGUAAUUGCGGGGCUUCCCCCACCCCUGCGCUGGAUUAGAGGCUCCGCCGCUUCCUCUGAGGCUCGCUAGCGCUUCCUGGGCCCCUUUGAAGUGGGUUCUGGGCAAAUCCUGCCCGCGGGGCCCGAGUGGGCGGGGCCUCCGGGAGGGGCGGGGCCUCCGCCGGACCCGCAGCCAGGCACCACCCCCAGGGUCUCGGGGGCGCCGGCUGCCCACCUCUUGAUGGGCACUUAUCUUUUUUGUAGUCGUAGGUGGACAGAAUGCCCUUAUUUGUUUGUUUUUACGUGGUAUUGGACCGAACCCAGUGCCUCACACAUGCUAGGUGAGCGCUCCGCCGCGGAGCUACAGCCCCAGCCCCCGCCGGGCUUCUUAGUCCCCUCCUCCAGUCCAGGCUCCUGGCCAGCGCCCCUCAUUCCGCUCGGCCUUCCUUUCCCCAUCCAGCCACAUCCCCCUCCCCUUCCAACUCAGCUUAGGCUUCCACUCCCUCCCUGUCCACCCGGACCCCAGGCCUUUCCCCAGCCUCUGAGUGUCUGGUCUGCAGCCAGGUGUUUUAAAAAAAUCAGAGCAAAAGCAGUGGCCACUUGUUGAGCCUGACUAGGUGCCAGGCUCUGGGCCCAGGGUACUUCAGCCUCACCUCAUCCAUGCGCACAAGUGCUGGGGGUGGGAGGACGACUCUGCCCCCAUUUGAACUACUGAUGCAACCACUGAAGUUCUGAGAAGUUGGGAGCUCAAGGUCAGGAAACUGAAAGGGCAAAAGUGUCUUCAAGGGGCUGGGGAUG